RNAcentral lists this ribosomal RNA (468 nucleotides) under uncultured bacterium. Its description in RNAcentral is "partial 16S ribosomal RNA". It matches the Rfam family "Bacterial small subunit ribosomal RNA", at positions 28 to 506 of the family's 1533-position model. The record is from RNAcentral.
GACGAACGCUGGCGGCGUGCUUAACACAUGCAAGUCGAACGGUGAAGCGAGUGCUUGCACUCGUGGAUCAGUGGCGAACGGGUGAGUAACACGUGAGUAACCUGCCCAUCACUCUGGGAUAAGCACUGGAAACGGUGUCUAAUACUGGAUACGACCAACCCUUGCAUGGGGUGUUGGUGGAAAGAUUUAUCGGUGAUGGAUGGACUCGCGGCCUAUCAGCUUGUUGGCGGGGUAAUGGCCCACCAAGGCGACGACGGGUAGCCGGCCUGAGAGGGUGACCGGCCACACUGGGACUGAGACACGGCCCAGACUCCUACGGGAGGCAGCAGUGGGGAAUAUUGCACAAUGGGCGAAAGCCUGAUGCAGCGACGCCGCGUGAGGGAUGACGGCCUUCGGGUUGUAAACCUCUUUCAGCAGGGAAGAAGCGAAAGUGACGGUACCGGCAGAAGAAGCACCGGCUAACUACGU